RNAcentral lists this ribosomal RNA (505 nucleotides) under uncultured bacterium. RNAcentral describes it as "partial 16S ribosomal RNA". It matches the Rfam family "Bacterial small subunit ribosomal RNA", at positions 28 to 507 of the family's 1533-position model. The record is from RNAcentral.
GACGAACGCUGGCGGCGUGCCUAAUACAUGCAAGUAGAACGCACAGUUUAUACCUUAGCUUGCUCCACCAUAGACUGUGAUUUGCGUACGCGUGAGUUACGCGUAGUUAACCUGCCUGGUAUCUGGUGAUAACUAUUGUAAACGUUAUCUAAUACCUCAUAAUAUUUAUUAUUGCAUGAUAAUUUAUUUUAUGUUUCAAUCGCACCACUUCCUGUUGUACCUGCGUUGUAUUAGCUAGUUGGUGAGGUAACGGCUCACCUAGGCGAGGAUACAUAUCCGACCUGAGAGGGUGAUCGGCAAAACUGGGACUGAGACAAGGCCCAGAAUCCUACGGGAGGCAGCAGUAGGGAAUCAUCGGCAAUGGACGAAAGUCUGAACGAGCAAAGCCGAGUGAGUGAAGAAGGGUUUCGGAUCGUAAAGCUCUGUUGUAAGAGAAGAAAGGGGGUGAGAGUGGAAAGUUCACAAUGUGACGGUAUCUUAACAGAAAGGGACGGCUAACUACGUG